CUGUUUUUUUUUAUGCCAUCAACUCCUUUUUCUGCAGUGAAAAUAGAGCUUCAGAGAAAAUAGAAAAGCAUUCAACCCAAAAUAACAAUACCUCAGACUCCAUUGCAACAGGAGAUGAUAUAGUGUAUGAGUGUUUGCUCUAAUCAUUUUUUGGCAAACAAUUUGAAAAGAUUCAGACCUAUCCAUUUCAAGUCCAAUAAAUGUGCCUCGCUCAUGUGUGGCUGCUUUUUCAAAUAAAAGAACAGAUGAAAAUCGAUAGGGAAGGAUCUCCAAUUAGUCUUGACUAAACUGGGGAUCAGAGAGGUCAACAAAGCAGGGUGGCUUUCCUCCUGUCCACUGAUAGAUGUUUACUGUUUGCUGUAGUGAUUUUUUUUUUUUAACUAAGCCUAUGACAUGAAUCCACACUUCUCCAGAACAGCAGCAGAAGGACAUUUUUGAGGGAAAGCUCGCCACAGAACUGGAGAUUGUUGACUCUGAUCUGUUGUAGCCAGUCUGGGUUUUCCUCCAUAUUUUCUGUGCAGUGUGAACGGCAUGAUGGUAACCGGUGCCGUCCUAACAGAUGUGUUGCCAGGCAACUGUGAGUAACACAGACAGACUUAACACACACCUCUGACCUGUCUCCCAGAAAGCUCUUUCUGCUCUCUGCCUUUCAUGUCUCAUUUUAUUCGCCUUCAAAACAUGUCCCACAAUUACUGCUAAUUUAAAUAUAGAUGCUGCACUUUGCUUAAAUAUAGCAAAGCCUGGAAUCUUCCUCUCAUUUCACCCAAGUGCUGGUUACAAUGUGUAAUCAAUUCUGCUUAAAAUGGCUUGUGUAUCUUAUACCAUACUACAUGCUACUGUGAAAGAGCCUAAUAAUUUUCUAAACAGACAUUUUCUAAUUUUCUAAUCAUUUUCUAAACUGACUCAGAUGACAUGAAAUAAUUCUUUCUGUUAUUUAGCUCCUUAAGGGGCUUGUAUUCAUUCACCAACAGCUGCUGUAACUGCUUUAAGAGCAGGGAAUCUAAAUGACCUGAGGAAAUGUCUGCAGAGAGCCUGACUUAACAACCCUGCAAAAAUACACGUUUUGGCAAAACUUGAGCGUGUUACGAGAUGUUCUGACUGAAUGAAGCAGGAGAUUGUAAUCUUCAAGAAGGAAUCCACAGGAGGAAAUUUGUGCGCUGUUCCCAUCCAGCGCUGGUGGGAGAGGCAGCAGUGCGGAUCAGCAGCGUGUUAAAGCUCUCUCUACAGACGCUGGAUUCUUUUCCUCUCUCUCACUUCGGCUUGAAUAACCGUGGCAGAGAAGUGCAAACAGGAAUUGGCAACAGCCCAGAAUGACCAAACAGAAGGCACACAUUUCUGUACUGUCGGCCCUAAGGAAAGACAAGAAGGUGCAAAUGAAGAUUGACUAAUCCCACGCUGUUUACCACCAGGCUUAGGAGCACGCUGUGUUCCGAAACCAGAGAGUCUCGUUGUAGCUCAGUCCAGACAGGUGAACCCCUGCUGUCAGCCUUAAGAAUGUGUGUGUGUGUGUGUGUGUGUGUGUGGAAGGGCAUCACAGUGGGUAAUAGUGGGUAAAAUCUGGAGAUGCUAGGUGUAUGGAGCACUUAUGGGACUAAAAGAGAUGGAAAGAGGCCCACAGAGACUGCACAGUACCUAGAACUUAGUGGCAAUCAUGUGUGUGUGUGUGUGUGUGUGUGUGUGUGUGUAAGAGAGAGAGACAGAGACAGAGAGAGACAGAGAGAGAGAGAGAGAGAGAGAGA
Molecule: long non-coding RNA, 1739 nt
Organism: Hemibagrus wyckioides
Lineage: Eukaryota; Metazoa; Chordata; Actinopteri; Siluriformes; Bagridae
Exons: 3
Source: RefSeq, a predicted model, not a curated record